GCACAAGCGGUGGAGCAUGUGGUUUAAUUCGACGCAACGCGCAGAACCUUACCAGCCCUUGACAUGUCCAGGACCGGCACCAGAGAUGGAGCCUUCUCUUCGGAGCCUGGAGCACAGGUGCUGCAUGGCUGUCGUCAGCUCGUGUCGUGAGAUGUUGGGUUAAGUCCCGCAACGAGCGCAACCCCCGUCUUUAGUUGCUACCAUUUAGUUGAGCACUCUAAAGAGACUGCCGGUGAUAAGCCGCGAGGAAGGUGGGGAUGACGUCAAGUCCUCAUGGCCCUUACGGGCUGGGCUACACACGUGCUACAAUGGCGGUGACAAUGGGAUGCUAAGGGGCGACCCCUCGCAAAUCUCAAAAAGCCGUCUCAGUUCGGAUUGGGCUCUGCAACUCGAGCCCAUGAAGUUGGAAUCGCUAGUAAUCGUGGAUCAGCAUGCCACGGUGAAUACGUUCCCGGGC
Molecule: ribosomal RNA, 457 nt
Filed under: uncultured Bradyrhizobiaceae bacterium
Lineage: Bacteria; Pseudomonadati; Pseudomonadota; Alphaproteobacteria; Hyphomicrobiales; Nitrobacteraceae
Description: bacterial SSU rRNA
Rfam family: Bacterial small subunit ribosomal RNA
Source: RNAcentral